Molecule: ribosomal RNA, 403 nt
Filed under: uncultured bacterium
Lineage: Bacteria
Description: partial 16S ribosomal RNA
Rfam family: Bacterial small subunit ribosomal RNA
Source: RNAcentral
GACGAACGCUGGCGGCGUGCCUAAUACAUGCAAGUCGAACGCAGUGGGGCCGGGUGAGUAACACGUGGGUAACCUCCCAUCAGAGGGGAUAACACUUGGAAACAGGUGCUAAACCGAUACUGAUGGAUGGACCCGCGGUGCAUUAGCUAGUUGGUGAGGUAACGGCUCACCAAGGCCACGAUGAGUAGCCGGCCUGAGAGGGUGAUCGGCCACACUGGGACUGAGACACGGCCCAGACUCCUACGGGAGGCAGCAGUGGGGAAUAUUGGGCAAUGGACGAAAGUCUGACCGAGCAAUGCCGCGUGAGUGAAGAAGGUUUUCGGAUCGUAAAGCUCUGUUGUUUGAGAAGCGGUAUCUAACCAGAAAGCCCCGGCUAACUACGUGCCAGCCGCCGCGGUAAUUC